AUUAAUAUAUAUUUUAUUUUGUUUGUUUG
RNAcentral lists this non-coding RNA (29 nucleotides) under Trypanosoma brucei brucei. Lineage: Eukaryota; Euglenozoa; Kinetoplastea; Trypanosomatida; Trypanosomatidae. The record is from RNAcentral.